Molecule: long non-coding RNA, 384 nt
Filed under: Nicotiana benthamiana
Lineage: Eukaryota; Viridiplantae; Streptophyta; Magnoliopsida; Solanales; Solanaceae
Description: long non-coding RNA (NBEN_LNC006215)
Source: RNAcentral
UCUACCAAAGAUUUUUUGAAGAUGGUGCACAAGAUUGAAAUGCAAAUUCUUAAAGAUGUGAAUUGAUGUCUCAUCAGGGAAAGUUAAUACACGUUGUACUCUUUUUUCCUUACACAAUUUUGUCUCACUAGAUUUUUCUUUCAAUGUUUUUAACGAGGCAACCAAAAGGAGUAUUGUUAGAUAUGUGUAUUCUUUUUUCUUUUCUAGAUUUUUUUUCACUGGGUUUUAUUUUAGUUAAGAUUUUAAUUAGGCCCAUUAUCCGUUGAAUAGAUAUUCAAAGGGGAGUGUUAUAAAUAGAAUUCUUUUUUAGGUGAAUAUCUAUAGUUUGGAGAGAUUUUAGGGUUUGUUAUUUGAUCGCUAAGUCAUUUUCUCCUUAUAAAUAAA